AAAAUUGUCAAUUGACCCCUUAAGGAGUUAUUGCCCUUUAUAGUUAAUUUUUAGCAUUUUUCAUAAAUUUUUGUACUGUAAUUACUGGGCCAAGUUCAUUAUAGAUAGAAAUAAUUGUAGCAAAAAGAAUGUUCAGUAAAGUAAGAUCUACAAACACAUCACCAUCACCAAAACACAAUUAUGUCAUGAAUUUAUCUGUGUCCAUUGUUUAAUAUGCACAUAGACCAAGGUGAGCGACACAGGCUCUUUAGAGCCUCUAGUUUGAUUAUUAGUUUUUAUUUAAAAAACGUAAGAACUUAAUUAUGCCAAUUAAAAAGAUCACCAG
Molecule: long non-coding RNA, 325 nt
Filed under: Mytilus galloprovincialis (Mediterranean mussel)
Lineage: Eukaryota; Metazoa; Mollusca; Bivalvia; Mytilida; Mytilidae
Source: RNAcentral